This 465-nucleotide ribosomal RNA is filed under the name uncultured bacterium. RNAcentral's name for it is "partial 16S ribosomal RNA". It matches the Rfam family "Bacterial small subunit ribosomal RNA", at positions 28 to 507 of the family's 1533-position model. The record is from RNAcentral.
GACGAACGCUGGCGGCGUGCUUAACACAUGCAAGUCGUACGGUAAGGCCCUUUCUGGGGUACACGAGUGGCGAACGGGUGAGUAACACGUGAGUAACCUGCCCACAACUUUGGGAUAACGCUAGGAAACUGGUGCUAAUACUGGAUAUGUUCUCCUGCUGCAUGGUGGGGGUUGGAAAGCUCCGGCGGUUGUGGAUGGACUCGCGGCCUAUCAGCUUGUUGGUGGGGUAGUGGCCUACCAAGGCGGCGACGGGUAGCCGGCCUGAGAGGGUGACCGGCCACAAUGGGACUGAGAGACGGCCCAGACGCCUACGAGAGGCAGAAGGGGGGAAGAUUGAACAAUGGGCGCAAGCCUGAUGCAGCAACGCCGCGUGCGGGAUGACGGCCUUCGGGUUGGAAAACGCUUGCAGCAGGGACGAAGCUUUUUGUGACGGUACCUGCAGAAGAAGCACCGGCUAACUACGUG